Long non-coding RNA from Helianthus annuus (common sunflower), 1084 nucleotides. RefSeq lists it as uncharacterized. The transcript has 4 exons. The record is from RefSeq and is a predicted model, not a curated record. Lineage: Eukaryota; Viridiplantae; Streptophyta; Magnoliopsida; Asterales; Asteraceae.
UAACCUAACAGACGAGAUGGCCACCAACAAACGAACAAAGAAGUGAAAGAACAUGUACAUAUAUAAAUAUAAAUUUUAAAUAUAUAAUCGAUAUAUAUAGAAAGAGAAGGUAGUGAGAGAAACAUAACCAUCAUCAAUCCUCUCUUCCUUCCUGUAUAUAUUUCAAUACACACACACACACAACAAUAUAAUCAACGAAAGAAAGAAAAAAAAGAGCUUCAUAAUUCACUUCCAUUGUAUUCCCCUUACAACUUUAGAUCCAACCAAACCCUAGAGAACUCCUGCAUUUUCCCUCAAGAAUCACUUCGUAAGUUGGUUGCAAAUGGUGGAAAUGAAGGUGAAUUAGUGUGAUUGUUUGUUAGUAAUAAUGGAGGAUAGAGGUGGAUCAUUUGUUGCUGUUAGGAGAAUUUCACAUAGUCUUGACAGAGGCAAUAAUUGCAAUACAACUUCAGCUGAGGUUGUUGCAGGCUCAGCAGCAUGGCUUGGCAGAGGCCUCUCGUAUUGUACAAUUAUGAUGUUUUAAUAGUUUUGUUCAACUGUUCGUUUGGGAUGAACAUGCUUAAAAGGAUUCUAAAAACGAGGCAUUCUACAAUGCUCAACUGAUUGCUUCUUGCUGCUUGCUGCUUGCUUUUCUACAACUUAUGGAUGGGAAGUGGUACAUGUAUCCCAUGUAACUUAGUAGUAUAAUCAGUGGCAGAUCUUGCCCGUUGAACCUGCCAGGGCCGAAAGACACGGACACUAAAAUUAGCACUACGGCCGAAAAACUUGCCAGGGCCGAACAUAGUAUAUAUACAAAAUUUCGAUCGAAUUGCGGAAAAUUAGCACUACGGCCGAAAAACUUGCCAGGGCCGUGGCCCUGCCACGGCUCCACUAAGAUCCGCCCAUGAGUAUAAUGUUACAUACUAGAUGUUGUUUGGUAACAUUUGGUAGUAUGUCAAAGGUGUAGGUUUAUAAAUUAAAGAUACUAGAUUUUAGGAGUAUAUAGUGUACCACCAAAAUGUUUUGCUUUUCAAGCGCUGAACAUAUUUGUUGAGUUUGAAUAUUGUUAAAGUCCAUCAAAUGUUACUAAACAACAUUUAGAAUA